GCCAGCAGCCGCGGUAAUACGGGGGGUGCGAGCGUUAAUCGGAAUAACUGGGCGUAAAGGGCACGCAGGCGGUGACUUAAGUGAGAUGUGAAAGCCCCGGGCUUAACCUGGGAAUUGCAUUUCAUACUGGGUCGCUAGAGUACUUUAGGGAGGGGUAGAAUUCCACGUGUAGCGGUGAAAUGCGUAGAGAUGUGGAGGAAUACCGAAGGCGAAGGCAGCCCCUUGGGAAUGUACUGACGCUCAUGUGCGAAAGCGUGGGGAGCAAACAGGAUUAGAUACCCUGGUAGUCCACGCUGUAAACGAUGUCGAUUUGGGGGUUGGGCUUUAAGCUUGGCGCCCGUAGCUAACGUGAUAAAUCGACCGCCUGGGGAGUACGGCCGCAAGGUUAAAACUCAAAUGAAUUGACGGGGGCCCGCACAAGCGGUGGAGCAUGUGGUUUAAUUCGAUGCAACGCGAAGAACCUUACCUACUCUUGACAUCCAGA
This 484-nucleotide ribosomal RNA is filed under the name uncultured bacterium. RNAcentral describes it as "bacterial SSU rRNA". It matches the Rfam family "Bacterial small subunit ribosomal RNA", at positions 507 to 992 of the family's 1533-position model. The record is from RNAcentral.